UACGUAGGGGGCUAGCGUUGUCCGGAAUCAUUGGGCGUAAAGCGCGUGUAGGCGGCCCGGUAAGUCCGCUGUGAAAGUCGGGGGCUCAACCCUCGGAUGCCGGUGGAUACUGUCGGGCUAGAGUACGGAAGAGGCGAGUGGAAUUCCUGGUGUAGCGGUGAAAUGCGCAGAUAUCAGGAGGAACACCAAUUGCGAAGGCAGCUCGCUGGGACGUUACUGACGCUGAGACGCGAAAGCGUGGGGAGCAAACGGG
Molecule: ribosomal RNA, 253 nt
Filed under: uncultured bacterium
Lineage: Bacteria
Description: partial 16S ribosomal RNA
Rfam family: Bacterial small subunit ribosomal RNA
Source: RNAcentral